GGUUUUUCCCUGGAUCAUCCUGGACCAUAAAAAUCCAUAUAAAAGACUAUCACGUGUAAUGCGCGUGCACGCAGAAACGCAACUCACGCAGAAACACAGAGGAACGUGCCGACAAAUUUCAGAGUCCUAACCCCUCGCAUCCGCUACAGCCUCCAUCGUCCCUGACGACCUCCCACGGGUAUCGGACCUUCCUCAUUUGAUUUGAUGCUUUCGACCAGCUCCGAGCUUCACCCCUCCGAGCUGGGAAUCAUCCGACUACCUCCCGUGGGAAUCGGACCUUCCUGUGCUGCGCGUUUCGGCCAGCUCCGAGCUUCACCCCUCCGCGACCUCCCGCGUGUUGCUCAGAGUUUACAGAGAAUCCAUGUGCUACGCGCUUUGCAACUCGCAGGUUCUGCUCGGAGUUUCCUUCUUUGACGCGUGCUGUGCGUUUUGCAACCCAAGCCUCCAACUCUGAUAAAAGAAAUGAAGAUAGUUGAGAAGGUGACUUUGAUGUUAUUGAUGAAGGCUUGAACAUCGAAACAGAUUUGGAUAUUCCACAAAUGAGAUUGGAAUUUGAGAUAGAAGAAGAUGCAUAUCAAUUUUAUUUGAUAUAUGCUAAAAAGGUUGGAUUUGGUAUAAGGAGAGGUAGAAUCUACAAGGAUGAAUCAGGUAAAUUACUUGAUAGAGUUUUUUAUUGUUGUGCCCAAGGUAAAAGAGGAAAAGACAAACGAGAUCUUUAUGUCAAAGCAAGUCGUGAUGAAACAAGGUUUGGUUGUGAGACUAAAUGAAGAUUUGUAAUCGGAAAAAAAGCAAGUUUACUGUGGUGUAGUUUGUUAAAGAGCAUAAUCAUUAUCUCUCAAGUCCAAACAAAACGCACCUUUAUAGAAGUCAUAGGAAUAUAUAUUCUUCUGUAGCGAUACAGAUUGAGAUGGUAAGUGAUGUGGGAAUCCCCCCAAAAGCAUCUCAUGAUUUUAUGGUGAGGCAAGUAGGUGGGAGGGAGAAUUUAGGAUUUAUUCCUGAGAAUUAUAAAAACUACUUGCGAUCCAAAAGAACAAUAAAUAUGAGAGUUGGGGAUACAGUAGAUGUAUUGGAAUAUCUACAGAAAAUGCAGUUCGAUGAUCCUAAUUUUUUUUAUGCCAUCCAAGUUGAUGAAGAUGAUUUGAUUGCUAAUAUUUUUUGGUCUGAUGAUAAGAUGAGAGCUAAUUAUGCUAAUUUUGGAGAUGUUUGCUUUGACAUAAUCUAUAGAAAGAAAAAUGAAGGUUAGCCAAUUGCAUUGUUUGUAGGUGUUGAUCAUCAUAAACAAUCCAUACUUUUUGGUGCUGCUUUAUUAUAUGAUGAAAUCAGUUUGACUUUUGAAUAGUUAUUUGAUACAUUAAGUAGAGCUAUGAGUGAGAAAAAGUCAACUACUAUUCUUACAGAUCAAGAUGCAGCAAUAGCAAAGGCGUUAGCUUCCAGAUGGCUUGAAACACAUCAUUGUUUGUGCAUUUGACAUAUUUAUCAAAAUGCUGUCAUACAUUUGAGUGGAGUUUUUUCUAAAUUUAGAAACUUUGCUAAAGAUUUUGCCUCAUGUAUAUAUGAUUUUGAUGAAGAGGAAGAUUUUAUUUCAUCAUGGAACAUGAUGUUAGCCAAGUAUGCACUUGAAGACAAUGAUUGGUUGAGGUGCAUGUAUAACAUCAAGGAAAAAUGAGCUUUAGUAUAUGGACGAAAAAUGUUUUGUGCGGAUAUGACUACAACCCAAAGAAGUGAGAACAUGAAUAUUAUUAUGAAAAAGCAUGUCACUUAUAAACACAAGUUUUUAGACUUCUUCAGUCACUUCCAAAGGCUCCUUGAUGAUCGUCGAUAUGAGGAAUUAAAAGCUGAUUUCAAAUCAAAUACAAUUAUUCCCUAUUUAAUGUUUUCAAUUGAGAUUUUAAAGCGUACAAGUGUUUUCAGCAGGAGUGGUGCUUAUCUCAUGAUUAUAAUCUAGAAAUUUGUGAAGAUGCUGAUACAUUUACAAAAUAUAAAUUUACUCCUCGCAAAAAGAGAAACCAUCAUAUAGUUACACUUGAUAAGAAGUGUGAAAAAUUGAGUGUAACUGUAGAAAAUAUGAAUUUGCUGAAAUUUUGUAUUCUCAUAUUCUGAAAAUAUUUACUUGAAAAAAUAUCAUGAAGAUCUCAAGUGAUUAUGUAUUGAAAAGGUGGACAAGAAAAGCAAAAAUAUGAUAUUUUGAAGUUAAUGAUUCAAUGGCCAACAAUGCUAGUUUGGAUCCAAAAGUACUUCAAAACAUACGUUACAAAGAGUUGUGUGGGUUGAAUAUUCAAUUGGUUACCAAGGCAGCAGAAAGGGAUGACACUUACAUGUUUGUUAAAGAUACUAUGUUGAGCUUGUGUAAGAUGGUGGAUGAUAAAUAACAAGGUAAUAAAUCAAAUGUCCAACAAUCAAAUGUGAGCUAAGCAUCCUGGGAAUUUGAUUAUGGUGAAGGGAACUCUACUGGAGUGAAAGGGAUUAAAAUGAAGAAAAAACGGUGUCAGGUAAGAGGUUAAUGGUUUCUAUUCCAUAAUUUUACAAAUUUUGUUUAUUUGGUAUUAUUUAUUGUUAAAUUCGAAUAACUUAAAUCAUUCUAUUUUUUUAUAACACAUGAUGUAGAUCAAACUAUUUCCAACGUGGCCAGCGUACAAUGUGACCGGAUUAAUCAUCAAGUUGGUAUUUGUUUUACUUAUGUUAAUCUAAGAUAAUUUAUAUUAUAACUAUCUAAGAUUGUAUUUUAUUUUUUUGUUUUAGCCUAUAAAUUCUGUGCCAACAAUUGGUAGCUCUGUUAGUAAUUUCAAUAUGACUGAGACUCAAUUUUCACCAUUAUUAGCAUCACAACUUUCUCAGGUAUAUAUACAUCUCAGUUAUCACAAGUUUCUUUAAUUCUAAUUGAAAUUUAUAAUAGAUAUCGCUUUCUGUUACUGCUUAUUGAUUGUUGGAUUUUAGUUAUAUAACUUUGUAAUUAGCAACAAAAUGAAGAAGCAUUAUCUCGUUUGAAUAAAAGGCUAUGAUUUGUUUUGAUCGGAAGUUGAUGAGGUUUUAUUGGUGAUGUUGGUAAGCUUGUUUUGAUAGCUUUGAUAUUUAAUGAAUCCAACAUUUGUUUAGUGCAGUUUCAUUAUUAUCAUGGAGUUUUGAUUCUCAAUUUCUGCUAUGUGGUAAUUGAUUGAUGAGUGUAUGUUUAAACUUGCAAAAAUGAUGAUGAUUGUUAAUGCUAUUGUUUGUUUUUGGAAUGGGGGAGGGUUGCUGUUAUUCAAAUUGAUUUGGCAAAAUUGUGGAGCUGCAAUUCGUUCAACGUGUUUUUCUCCUUGUGAUGUUGUAAGGAGCGGAUGUAAUUCUAUUGGCGGUGUUGAUAUGGAAGCUGGUGUUUUUUCUGAUGAGUUUUUUAAUAUUGGCGAUUAAAAUAUUGUGCAAUUCUCAUUUAGUCUUUUAGCUUAUUUGUUUAAUAGUUUACCGUUGUGUACUGUUAUAGGCGCAAUUCCCAUUUGUGUAGUUUCCUGGACCACCUCCUACGACCUCCUCCCCUUAGACA
Zingiber officinale is the source of this 3517-nucleotide long non-coding RNA. RefSeq lists it as uncharacterized. NCBI's taxonomy places the organism in Eukaryota, Viridiplantae, Streptophyta, Magnoliopsida, Zingiberales, Zingiberaceae. The record is from RefSeq and is a predicted model, not a curated record. The transcript is spliced from 3 exons.